GAUUGGAUAAAGAGGAAAAACAUGGCAAAGAUGGCAUAUUCAGAUGUUUCUACGACUUUUCCGUAAAGAUUAGCUUCCUACACCCCAGAGACGAAUGCAACAACGUUUACAUCGGAAACAAUUAUCCCAACGCCUACUUUCAUGUGCAACAUUCUUACAGUCAAUUCAACUAGUGCUACUUCUUCUGUUAUACCAAACAUUAUACAUUCAGCCGACACAAACAAUUAACAAUGCUUUAUCAAUUCAGCUAAAAGUUUGCCGUAUGAUGCGACAGAAAAAAACAAGAAAUAUAUUACUAUUUAAGUAAAAUAUCAGAGCUGGGGAAUAUGACAGUAUGUGCAGUGUAACAAUUGAAUCACAAAACGUAUCCGGGUAUAUUGAAUUUAACAACAACCUUACCAACAGAGUACUAAAAUUAAAACAUUAGGAGUGUCGAAUGAUGCAAUUUGACCAAUAAUUCAGAAGAAAUAUUGCAAUGAAAAGUGUACCAUUCAUUCAUAAUAUUUCCAGAAUUUGAUGACAUGUAUUCAUACUAUUAGAGCAAGUGCUAGAAGAAAUGACAGAUAUUGUAAGAUGAUCAAUUAGGAUUAAAAACACCAGAACAUGUCAGCUCUUGUGAAAUCUGUUUAUGCUGCUUUCAUAAUUUUGUCAAUUUUACUGUCAUAUAUGAAGGGCAUUAAUUAGCUUUACUAUGUAUAUUACCCACUAUUUUUUCUGUCUGACCUUUUACUGAUAACUUUUGAUUUUGUUCGUUUUCAUGAACUUCCCC
Molecule: long non-coding RNA, 769 nt
Filed under: Mytilus galloprovincialis (Mediterranean mussel)
Lineage: Eukaryota; Metazoa; Mollusca; Bivalvia; Mytilida; Mytilidae
Source: RNAcentral